GAUGAACGCUGGCGGCGUGCCUAAUACAUGCAAGUCGAGCGAACGGACGAGAAGCUUGCUUCUCUGAUGUUAGCGGCGGACGGGUGAGUAACACGUGGAUAACCUACCUAUAAGACUGGGAUAACUUCGGGAAACCGGAGCUAAUACCGGAUAAUAUUUUGAACCGCAUGGUUCAAAAGUGAAAGACGGUCUUGCUGUCACUUAUAGAUGGAUCCGCGCUGCAUUAGCUAGUUGGUAAGGUAACGGCUUACCAAGGCAACGAUGCAUAGCCGACCUGAGAGGGUGAUCGGCCACACUGGAACUAAGCCACGGUCCAGACUCCUACGGGGAGCAGCAGUAGGGAAUCUUCCGCGAUGGGCGGAAGCCUGACGGAGCAACGCCGCGUGAGUGAUGAAGGUCUUCGGAUCGUAAAACUAUGUUAUUAGGGAAGAACAUAUGUGUAAGUAACUGUGCACAUCUUGACGGUACCUAAUCAGAAAGCCACGGCUAACUACGUG
Molecule: ribosomal RNA, 497 nt
Filed under: uncultured bacterium
Lineage: Bacteria
Description: partial 16S ribosomal RNA
Rfam family: Bacterial small subunit ribosomal RNA
Source: RNAcentral